RNAcentral lists this ribosomal RNA (658 nucleotides) under Plasmopara wildemaniana. RNAcentral's name for it is "LSU rRNA". It matches the Rfam family "Eukaryotic large subunit ribosomal RNA", at positions 103 to 634 of the family's 3401-position model. The record is from RNAcentral. Lineage: Eukaryota; Oomycota; Peronosporomycetes; Peronosporales; Peronosporaceae.
AUGAGCUCAAGCUUAAAAUCCCCAUGCAUUUUGCAUGGCGAAUUGUAGCCUAUAGAAGCGUGAUCAGUAUGAGCACUUGGGGCAAGUUCCUUGGAAAAGGACAGCAUGGAGGGUGAUACUCCCGUUUAUCUCUGAGUUGCUUGUGCGUACGAUCCGUUUUCUUUGAGUCGCGUUGUUUGAGAAUGCAGCGCAAAGCAGGUGGUAAAUUCCAUCUAAAGCUAAAUAUUGGUGCGAGACCGAUAGCAUACAAGUACCGUGAGGGAAAGAUGAAAAGAACUUUGAAAAUAGAGUUAAAGAGUACCUGAAACUGCUGAAAGGGAACCAAAUCGUUUCCAGUGUCUAUAAUCCGUGGUAUAUUUCAUUGGCGAGUGUGUGCGUGCGUGUACUGUAACAGUGGCCUUUAGGCUGCGCUCAGUGUGUGUGCUGUGUGUACUUGCUGGUGCCCUGUGCUGUGGUGGGACGUCAAGGUCAGUUCGUAUGCUGCGGGAAAUGGCUACCGAGGAGGUAGGGCUUACGCUUGCGUUUGUCUGUUAUAUCUUGGUGGACGACUCGUCGCGGUUGGGACUGAGGUGCUCAUAACGUGCUUUUUGAGUGGGCUUGGGUCUCCGUGUGCGCCGUGUGCGGAUAGCUUGCUAUGUGCGUGUGGUUGUGUGUGGAU